Molecule: ribosomal RNA, 468 nt
Filed under: uncultured bacterium
Lineage: Bacteria
Description: partial 16S ribosomal RNA
Rfam family: Bacterial small subunit ribosomal RNA
Source: RNAcentral
GACGAACGCUGGCGGCGUGCUUAACACAUGCGAGUCGAACGGUGAUGCUCCAGCUUGCUGGAGUGGAUCAGUGGCGAACGGGUGAGUAACACGUGAGCAACCUGCCCCAGACUCUGGAAUAAGCGCUGGAAACGGCGUCUAAUACUGGAUACGAAACUGGCCCGCAUGGGCAUGGUUUGGAAAGUUUUUCGGUUUGGGAUGGGCUCGCGGCCUAUCAGCUUGUUGGUGAGGUAAUGGCUCACCAAGGCGACGACGGGUAGCCGGCCUGAGAGGGCGACCGGCCACACUGGGACUGAGACACGGCCCAGACUCCUACGGGAGGCAGCAGUGGGGAAUAUUGCACAAUGGGCGAAAGCCUGAUGCAGCGACGCCGCGUGAGGGAUGACGGCCUUCGGGUUGUAAACCUCUUUCAGCAGGGAAGAAGCGAAAGUGACGGUACCUGCAGAAGAAGCACCGGCUAACUACGUG